RNAcentral lists this ribosomal RNA (483 nucleotides) under uncultured bacterium. RNAcentral's name for it is "partial 16S ribosomal RNA". It matches the Rfam family "Bacterial small subunit ribosomal RNA", at positions 30 to 507 of the family's 1533-position model. The record is from RNAcentral.
AUUGAACGCUGGCGGCAGGCCUAACACAUGCAAGUCGAGCGGAUGAAGGGAGCUUGCUCCUGGAUUCAGCGGCGGACGGGUGAGUAAUGCCUAGGAAUCUGCCUGGUAGUGGGGGAUAACGUCCGGAAACGGGCGCUAAUACCGCAUACGUCCUGAGGGAGAAAGUGGGGGAUCUUCGGACCUCACGCUAUCAGAUGAGCCUAGGUCGGAUUAGCUAGUUGGUGGGGUAAAGGCCUACCAAGGCGACGAUCCGUAACUGGUCUGAGAGGAUAAUCAGUCACACUGGAACUGAGACACGGUCCAGACUCCUACGGGAGGCAGCAGUGGGGAAUAUUGGACAAUGGGCGAAAGCCUGAUCCAGCCAUGCCGCGUGUGUGAAGAAGGUCUUCGGAUUGUAAAGCACUUUAAGUUGGGAGGAAGGGCAGUAAGUUAAUACCUUGCUGUUUUGACGUUACCAACAGAAUAAGCACCGGCAACUUCGUG